UUUGAAGCGUGGACGCCAGUCUGCGUGGAGCCGACCUUGAAAUACCACCCUUUAAUGUUUGAUGUUCUAACGUGGACCCGUGAUCCGGGUUGCGGACAGUGUCUGGUGGGUAGUUUGACUGGGGCGGUCUCCUCCUAAAGAGUAACGGAGGAGCACGAAGGUUGGCUAAUCCUGGUCGGACAUCAGGAGGUUAGUGCAAUGGCAUAAGCCAGCUUGACUGCGAGCGUGACGGCGCGAGCAGGUGCGAAAGCAGGUCAUAGUGAUCCGGUGGUUCUGAAUGGAAGGGCCAUCGCUCAACGGAUAAAAGGUACUCCGGGGAUAACAGGCUGAUACCGCCCAAGAGUUCAUAUCGACGGCGGUGUUUGGCACCUCGAUGUCGGCUCAUCACAUCCUGGGGCUGAAGUAGGUCCCAAGGGUAUGGCUGUUCGCCAUUUAAAGUGGUACGCGAGCUGGGUUUAGAACGUCGUGAGACAGUUCGGUCCCUAUCUGCCGUGGGCGCUGGAGAACUGAGGGGGGCUGCUCCUAGUACGAGAGGACCGGAGUGGACGCAUCACUGGUGUUCGGGUUGUCAUGCCAAUGGCACUGCCCGGUAGCUAAAUGCGGAAGAGAUAAGUGCUGAAAGCAUCUAAGCACGAAACUUGCCCCGAG
This 648-nucleotide ribosomal RNA is filed under the name Salmonella enterica. Its description in RNAcentral is "partial 23S ribosomal RNA". It matches the Rfam family "Bacterial large subunit ribosomal RNA", at positions 2156 to 2803 of the family's 2925-position model. Lineage: Bacteria; Pseudomonadati; Pseudomonadota; Gammaproteobacteria; Enterobacterales; Enterobacteriaceae. The record is from RNAcentral.